Molecule: long non-coding RNA, 4043 nt
Filed under: Gallus gallus (chicken)
Lineage: Eukaryota; Metazoa; Chordata; Aves; Galliformes; Phasianidae
Description: lncRNA (ENSGALG00010022057.1)
Source: RNAcentral
CUCGCGGGGCGGUGACCGUCGCCGGCUUUCGAGCACGGCCUCCCGUUGCCCCGAGGGAAGGUCGGUUGGAUGUCCCGAAGAAUUUCUUCUCCGACAGAGCGGCGAUGCGUCGGCUGCCCCAGGAGGCGGGGCGGUCCCCAUCCCUGGAGGCGCGAGACGCGGCACGGGGGGACGUGGGCAGCAUUGGCGGCAGGCGGGCCGUUGGGCUGGAUGACCUUUGAGGUCGCUUCCAACCUCAUGGCUCUCUUUAGACACCCCGGGGGCCAACUCCAUCCUGCACGCUGCUGUCGGCUCUGAGGUCUGAUCGGAGGCCUUCUCCUUUCCCUCGAGGCGCUGCUCGGCCGCUGUGUUGCUGCAGGGGUGCUGCGUGAGCGCAGAGCACAGCCGGCUUUGUCCACCCUGACAGGCUCACCUUUCUUCCUGCCUAGAAACACCGCUGCGGGACUCGCCCCCCCCCCAGGGAAAGCAGAAGCUCCAGCGCGGGGCUGGGGACUAGAAGAGCCCCGUUAUGUGCUACGGAACAAAGGGAACAUCGAGCGAGAAGCCACCUCGCUUCGCAGAGCACCCCGGCUCCCGCUCCAGCUGCUCCGUGCCGGGGGAGCAGCAGCACUGAGCCCCCCCGGGUCCCGCAGAGCUGCAAAGGAGCACGAGGGGCAGGUGCAGAGAGUGCACGCGUAAGGAGGAGCCGGCAGCACCGCCGGACCGCAGGUUGUCAGACAGACCCCGCCAUCCCAUAACGUUAGGGUUGUAGAGAUGCAUCAGCAUCACUCCGGACGGCUUCUCUGCCACCGUAGGCCAACGCUUUGCUCAAGCACAUGAAUCUAACAGACAGAACCCCCCCUUCAACCCGCCGUGCUUUGAAACGCACCCAGCAACACCUGUCCCCAGCAGAGCCAGCCCUGCCCCACGUCGGAGCUGGGUUCCGUCGGGCUGGGUGUGGAGGUGCCGGCCAGCAUCUCUGCACGACAGCGAGCCUGAGAAGCUAAUUAGCGCCCGUUUGCUGCUUUCAGAGAGGAGAUUCUGAGCGCUGUUGGUAAACUCAUUUCAAGGAGUCGCACUCAAUUUGCAGCGACGGAUGCUCAUCGUGGCUUUGUUCCCACAUCUACAAAGAGCAGCGCUGCAGAGGGGCUUUGAUGAUCCCUCUCGUUUGGACAGCUGGCAGGGAGCAGGAUGCACCCAGGAAUAGAAGGGCACACGGGAGCCACGGCGUCCCCUGCACGAGAGCAAACGGAGAGGCUGGACGUCUGUAAAGUGGGGGAUGUGGGGUUCUAUCCUAGUGAUGCAACUGGAAAGUGAAAGCUCUCGCACUGCGUGGGAGAGCAGAAAUCCGCUCUGCGUCUUGAAAUAGUUGCACGUGAAGUCCUGCCCUCAACUCGCGACCUGCAACCUGCACGGCAUGGCUCUCAGGAGCCCAUUGUAGGGGCGGUUGUUGCACUGCUGGGCUCCUCCAGCUCUUGGGGGUCAGCGUGGCAUCGCACGCCCAGGGACGUCGGCGUCAGUGGGAGCCAAGCCCAGCAUCGUCAGCACAGCUGUCAGGGCCCCGGGUGGGCCCUAAUGAGGCCCCCAGGUGCCACAGGGCUGGGCUGCCCUAGCACAGCUGCGCCUUAUCGGCGGCUCAGGGCAGGGCCCGCCCUCAACGCCUCUUAAACCCCCACCAGAGCUUGCUGGGAUCCACUGGGGGCUGCUGGGAGCUCAGGGGCUCAUUCAGGGCUUGCCGCAGCAUGCUGCCAGGCUCCCACACUGCUCUCUCUUUUUGGGGAGGGCGCUGGGCUUCUGCUGGGCUUUUUUGGGGUCUGGUUUCUGCUGGGCUCCUCUGCUCUUUUGGAGUCAGUGUGGGGUGGCCCUGCUGGGCUCUGGCCUUGUUUUCUUCUUUUUGGUGGUGGUAUGGGAUUGCUGUUGGUGCCCCUGCCCUCUUUGGGUCCAGCACAGGGCUGCUCUUGGCUCCCCUCUGCUCCUUAGAGCCUAUGCAGCACUUUUGCAAAGCAGCUCUCCUAGCCCCUUUGUGGGGUUAGUUAAGGGCAGUUUGCAGGUCCUGCAGCAACGGAGGAGAGCAGAACGGAGCUGCGCCCCUUACCCUGGAGCUGCUGGGGGUCAGAAGCAUCGCAAGGGGCUGCUUUCAAAACAGCAAAUGCUGGGGAUAUCCAUUUAAUCACGUUUGUUCUCUCUCCUUUUUGUUUCUCUCUUGCAGGGUGAGAGCUCCAGCGAGGAUCAGCCCGCAGUACUGAGCGGCUGUGGCAGCGAUGGGAGCGUGGAGCUGAGUCCCAGGGGUCUGGGCGAGCACGUUCCCUCGUGCCCAGACCCCGGGGGCUCUUUGCUUGCAGCAGGAGGAUCCUUCUGCCCUUCUAUUGGGGUCAAUGCAGUGCUGCUGCUGGGCUCCCUACCUUCUUUUUCUGGGUUCUGCUGGACUCCCCGAGGCAGAGCGCAGCCCUGGGGGUGCCCACUGCCCCCCUUGGUUGCAGCAGCGGGGGCGUGCAGGAUGGAAUCAUGGUUGUCCCCUCCCUAGCCCUAUUGCUGCUGGGAGUAAGAAGCAACGCCAGGGACAGCUAAGUUGAAAGCAGUGCUUUAAAUCACUUGCUGUGCUUUUAUCUUUUUGAUUUCCCCAAAAAGCUGUUGCAAGGUAAGGUGCUUUGCAGCAGGGAUCAGCCCAGAGAUGCAAGGUUCCCGCUGCACUGGGACUGCAGAGACGAGCACUGGGAUGUGGCGGUGUGAAUCUUUAGUUUUACUCAUGAAUUUUGUUCACAGAACCACAGGAUUGUAGGUGCUGGAAGGGACCUCUGGAGGUAACGAAGUUAACCCCUCUGCAAACUUCAUCAUAGAGGUGCUCCAGGCCCUGCAUCGUCUUUAUGGCCCUCUGCUGGACUCCUUCCAGGAGAUCCCUCUCUUUGUUUGUACUGAGGAGCCUGGAAUGGGAUGCAGUACUGCAGGUGUGCAGCUCUGCAGCCCUUCCUGUGGGACGGCAGCACAGCCUUCCGGUGCAUCAGCUGCUCUUCCAAGGCCAGUUCUCAGCCCACCUCCCUGCUCACUCAUGUUGGGAUGUUGCGGGAGGAAAAAAAUCCAGCAGCAUUUCUGACUAAAGGUAGAUGACAUUGGCUCUCUCCUCCAUCUGCAUGCCUGGCGAUGCCAUUGUGGAAGACUGUGAGGGCCUUGGUUUGUGGGUUCCACUACAGCAGCAGCCCCUCAGAGGAGGUUUGAGGAGCUGUUCUCGCCACAGGGGCAGGGCUGGAGCAAGGUCCUGGUGCUGCCUGUCUAAGGGAGGAAGGCUGCCAGCUGUGCCCUUGUCCCCUGUUGGGGUUGUGGGGUGAUGGAGCUGCUUGGCGUCCAGGAGGAGCUGAGGGGAUCUGGCAGCUGUCUGAUGUUUUGUGUUCCUGAUGGGAGCAGUGGCUUCUGUGAGCAGUGCCAAUUGUCCAGCUUUCCCAGGGUGUGGAGGAGCAGCAUGAUGGGGGCUCCCCGUGCGAGACCAAGGAUUUAAGCUGCUGCUGCUGCUCAGAGUGGUGUGGUUCCCCUUCUGUCUGUGGUAAGCUUGAGGUGGAAACAGAAGUGGUAGAUUUCAAAUGUCUGCAGGAGAAGAGAACAUGCUUGAGCUGGAGCUUGAAAUAAUGCUCUUGAGUGGGGAGGCUUGCUGCUUUGCUCUAUCAAAGGAAACAAAAACUAAAUUGAGCAAGGCAACUCAUGAGGUUUGAUGUAAAGAGGGAAAAAAAAAUCUGGCACUCACCCUCUAAUGCUUGGAGAUCUGCUCUUCAUCCUCUGCUCCCUUGAAGCUGCUUCAUUUCAGGUACCCUUAUGCAUCUAGAAGAAAGCAAGUAGCUGCAUUGAAGAAUGUUUUCCAAUAUGUACAAGUUUGAUAUUGAUGGUUAAAUGUUAUUAAUAAAUGGGAAAGAAUAAAUAUUUGUUACAGCUGACUGCUAUCAUUACACUGUGUCUCUACAUAAGAGUAUGUCUAUAUGUUGUUUCUUCUAGAAGCAUGCAAUACAGAACAAGGUGAGCACUGAGAAAGCUGUAGGUCCUGGGAGCUGGGCAGAGUCCCUUCCACUACAAACCGUGCU